CUAGUUAAAUACUCCAUAUGAAUUGAGGCUCUUCAGUGCCCAUGUUAUUGUCUUACUUAAUUCCCCUGUAUUCACCUUGAUUUUAUUACGCUUCAAGUCCUGUCAGUUGAACUUGGAUUUCAAUAUCCACCCUGAGGGGGUUUUUCCUUGACUGGCUGUGCAUGAAGCUAGGAGUAAUCUAGAGAGACGAUCUUGUCCUAAUUCCCCUGAAGAAGCCAAGAGGCGAAACUAGUAAGGUCGACCUGAUCGAAAAAAUUAUUUCUAGAUCUUGCUCCCACAAAAUAAUUUAUGCACUAUCUGUAUAUUGAAUUACUAUAUUUUGUAAAAAUUGAAUGAAUAAACCUUUUUUAUAUAUUUUUAUAUAUACAUA
Long non-coding RNA from Rana temporaria (common frog), 370 nucleotides. RefSeq lists it as uncharacterized. The record is from RefSeq and is a predicted model, not a curated record. The transcript has 4 exons. Lineage: Eukaryota; Metazoa; Chordata; Amphibia; Anura; Ranidae.